Long non-coding RNA from Exaiptasia diaphana, 1318 nucleotides. RefSeq lists it as uncharacterized. The record is from RefSeq and is a predicted model, not a curated record. NCBI's taxonomy places the organism in Eukaryota, Metazoa, Cnidaria, Anthozoa, Actiniaria, Aiptasiidae. The transcript is spliced from 2 exons.
AUUGUGAUGAAUAAUCAAACAUUUAAUCUCUAUUUUUUUAUUUGGAGAUGUUACAAAGUGUUGCAUGCCGGGACAGCAGAACAUAUUAAAGGCAGAGGAGUGAAGUCUAAUUAUUCCUUUUACUAAGAGGUCACCUUUAUUAUGAGAACCUACAUACUGGGAUUACCUUCCUAAUGUAGUUGCCAUAACUGCAAAAUAAACACGAGGCUACAUUGCUACUAGCUUGCAGAAGUAGUUUAUACCCAGCCAUACAUGUACAGUACAUGUAGGUUUACGGGUUGGUGAAGCAUUUUUCACUAUGAAGUUUUUUCCAYUGAUUUUAAUUUGUAAACACAGGUAGACAUAACCGUAUGGCAAAGGCUGACCCUGGGUGAUAAGGGUGGCUGACCACCACCACCAACCACCCCUCCCUUAACAGCACCUUUAAGGGCUCAAUUUACCAAAAUAAAAAUGAUAUGAAUAAAUAAAUAGAAAGUAAAUCUGAAUGGAAUUACUGAAAGACAACUGAAGCAAAAUUUAUAUGAAAGACAAUUUCAUAUUUUUCUGCAGCCCUAAACCAAUCCAUUGAAUAUUUUUCUGUGUUUGUAAACAUUCUGGAUCUACCAUUGAUGAAACUUUAUUAUACUCAUUUUUACAUCAAUCUGAAAAUUUUCACUGAAUUUUGCACAAGUUAAGAGUAGAAGUCUUAAAAAUGUUUUAAGAGUUCAUAAAAUUUAUUCUUUCUUUAAACUUACCAUUCAUAGCAAGAUUCUUGCAAAGGAGAAAACUUUCAAUCGUAAUUUCAUUUUGGAUUGUUCAUGUUGACUUCAGUUCAAUUCUAUUCAAGUAAGGAUUUUUACGAAAAAUCAGACAGUUGUUUCCUCAUAGCAGCUGGGGGAAUAAUGUGUGCUCCCCAGUGAUAUACAUACAGUAGAAACCAUGGUUUAUUUGCAUUAUCUGCAAGGGAUAUCAUGUCUUUAUUGAGAUUUGUUCUUCUUUCUGAUUACCCUAUAUACUAUAUAUUUUUCUUAUUUAACAACCUUGACUUUUGUAUUCAAGUUUAUUAUGAACUUACAUAUGUAAUUUUUAGGGGUGAUUUUUAGACUUGCAAUGCUAUUUUCAUACUGCAUCUAAAACUCAACUGAGUACAUAAGAUAACAAAUGAUGGAACUUAAUGGUUAUAUCAUUCUUUAUGAAAUUUUGUCAAUCAUUUAAAAAAUGUCUGACUGCAGUCAACAUCCAACUACAUAAUAAUAGUGGUCGAAGAUGAAUGGAAAGAAACCUUGAUUGAAUAUCACUUGAUCAAUUGCAAGYCAAUAAACUGGUCAAGAAGUCAAAA